GUGCCAGCAGCCGCGGUAAUACGUAGGGGACGAGCGUUGUCCGGAGUUACUGGGCGUAAAGCGCCCGCAGGCGGUGCGGCGCGUUUGCACUGACAGCGGCCAGCUUAACUGGGCGAGGCGUGCAAAGACGGCCGCACUUCGAGGGCCAGAGAGGGACAUGGAACUCCAGGUGUAGUGGUGAAAUGCGUAGAUAUCUGGAAGAACACCAAAGGCGAAGGCAGUGUCCUGGCUGGUACCUGACGCUCGGGGGCGAAAGCUAGGGGAGCGAACGGGAUUAGAUACCCGCGUAGUCC
This 293-nucleotide ribosomal RNA is filed under the name uncultured bacterium. Its description in RNAcentral is "partial 16S ribosomal RNA". It matches the Rfam family "Bacterial small subunit ribosomal RNA", at positions 505 to 796 of the family's 1533-position model. The record is from RNAcentral.